Small nucleolar RNA from Tripterygium wilfordii, 74 nucleotides. RefSeq annotates it as small nucleolar RNA R21. NCBI's taxonomy places the organism in Eukaryota, Viridiplantae, Streptophyta, Magnoliopsida, Celastrales, Celastraceae. The transcript has a single exon. The record is from RefSeq and is a predicted model, not a curated record.
CAUCCCUGUGAUGAGUCUUUUCAAUUAAAGUAGUGGCCUGAUCUCUUGUGAUGAAUUGAUAACUCUGAGGGAUG